Non-coding RNA from Salvelinus sp. IW2-2015, 1444 nucleotides. Lineage: Eukaryota; Metazoa; Chordata; Actinopteri; Salmoniformes; Salmonidae. The record is from RefSeq and is a predicted model, not a curated record.
AUCCCUACGAGAGAGAGAGAAUCCCUACGAGACAUAGAGAAUCACUGUGGGAGAGAGAGAGAGAAGAGUAAGACGCUCUCCCGCUCCCAGAGAAGUGGAGACUUCAUUCCCGUGCUCUUUUCCCCUUCCUCUCCUUCCCCUCUGUUUUCCUCCUUCUCAUCUCUCUCUCUGUGUCAGGGUGUGUCAGCAGCAUUAUGCCUGCAGUGUUCCUACUGCUCAGAACCUUCCUUUCCAGUAGUAUGAUAGGAUCCCUGCUCCAGUUCCUCAGGAGAACUCUGUCCUCAACCUUCAGCCACGUGGGAGCCGCGCUGAGAUACGUCUGGGACAGGAUCAGCUCUCAGGAGUCUAAAGAAGCCAUCCUGGGCUGUGUGCUGUGUCUCCUUAACAUGCACAAGAAGGUGGAUCAGCCAGCAGCUGAGUCUCACUGAGUCACUCUCUUGGCUUUUCUUCCUCUUCAGAAAGAAAAAGAGAGCGGACGAGAGAGAGAACAAGAGAGAGGGAGAGAGAGAACGAGAACAAGAGAACAAGAGAGACUUGGGAAGAGAGGAAGCUCUCUCUACUGAGCUCUCUCCACUUCCCUUUCUGUUCACUCAACCUCCACUUGUUUACUGCCGGAGGGAGAGAGAGAACAAGAGAGGGAGAGAGGGAGGGGGAAGUGAGAGGGAAGGUUUCAGACUUUUCAUUAGAGCUCAUUUGGACUGUAGUAUUUUUCUGACUGGAGUGCUCAGAGCAAAGCGCCCAGAUUCAGGUGAAUGAGACUGUCUGUUUACGUAUCGGAUUGUAUCGUACCGCUGGGCUGGUGCUGACCACGUCAGAAAGCAUCGUCAGGGAGGUCCAACCUUUCACCAUCGGGACCAGGCUGUCUGUCUCUGGAUCUGCUACCAGGUCCAGACUUCCCCCAGAAGCCCUCCUGCCAGAGCGGGACUCUGGAUAAUAUCACCCUGCAACCUCCACGACCAAGUCUCCCUCUACCUCAGCCAGGUGCAGAUCCAUCAGGAAGAUCUCCAUCUCUGGAAGCCCUGAGGAGGAGGACAGCUCCUGGAGGAGACAGCAGUCAGAUCACAGGGUGGUCAUUGAGAAGGAGUACAGCUCCAGGAGGAGACAGGAGAAGUUAGACCACAAGGUGGUCAGUAUGGGACCAGGACCGGGAAGACCCCCUGUCACAGUGACCAGAAAAAUCUGAAAACAUCAACGACAACAACAUCAGCAGCUCCAAGCCACAGCUGCCCAGGAUAGUGGGGGUCAGCUGUUAGAAUAUAUAAGCUGCCCAUGAUAGUGGGGGUCAGCUGUUAGAAUAUAUAAGCUGCCCAGGGUAGUGGGGGUCAGCUGUGAGAAUAUAUAAGCUGCCCAGGAUAGUCAGAGUCAGCUGUGAGAAUAUAUAAGCUGCCCAGGAUAGUCAGAGUCAGCUGUGAGAAUAUUACCCAGUUCACAUUUUAAGGUAAGA